AAAGAGCAAAGCCACUUUGGAAGCCACUCAACUUUGGGCCUGCGGCAGGAAAGCAGCCACAAACAACACAUAAACAAUGAGCAAGGCUGUGCGACAAGUUCAACUGUGGAGAACGGAAACUGACUUCCUAUCAUUUUCACGCAUUAUUCUGCCACAGAGGACACGAACACUCCUGCCCGAAGGGAACAAUAAAGCUUUCUCCAUUCAACAGCACCAAAGACGCCGGAAGCCCGCCAUCUUGAGGACGGCGCAAAGGGGAUUUCCGCAGGGAAGGAGGCGGCCCGGCCGGCCUGACGCACCAAAGUUACGCUCGGGGGCGGGGCCUCCGCCGAGCCUGGACGUUGAUUGCUGCCCUCUUCUUUGACCUUUGACCCCUGCCCCCUCUCCCUACACGCCCUUGGAAAGUUCUGCUCUAGUCCUGUUGUUUCUCGCUAGUGCAGAACCAAGGUUAGUAUCUUAUUUCAAAGAGAAAUAGACACAAAAUAUUUUCCCCCGUUUUUCCUAAGCAACACGUUUACGUGCAAGGCUCUGUCCCUGUAAGUAUUCUCAUUGGUGGGGUUGGGGGGCGGUUAAACCCUGCUCAUACACAUAGGCUAAUAGACCCGCACCAGCCAGUUGACUUCGGAGCUGUUUGGUCCUGCUUCUCCCUUCUCAGUUUGGAGAGAGGGGAACGACGGGAUGUCUGUGUUUUAUCUUUUUGCUAAUUUCCCUCUUAACACCUUGCUUGGACACAGGCGUUCCUUCCCAGUCUCCCAGAGAGAGUAAAUCCUUAACCUGGGGGGGAUGUAAAAGCCCUGUUACCACCCCCCAUACACUUAAUCCAACAAGGCCAAAUACAAAUACAGAACCACACUGUCAUAAUACAGUGACAUGCAGACAAUUUUCCUGUCUCAGUCACACCAUCCAGGUUCAUCUGUUCUCCAUAUAUUGUCGACGUCCCACUGGUUACAGCUGUUAGUGUAAAUAUUCAGUCGUUCUGAGCUCUGUCAUUGUCAGACUUGACUCCAAAUCCAGCACCAUUUGUAAUUACGGGUGCAGUCAACGGGGAAGAGCUCACUCACAUUGUUGCUGACAUCUUGUCCAUCAUUGUUUACUGUCACUACUUGGUGCUUGACCUCUGUCAAUGACCACAACAUUCAAACAAUUAUGUACAAUACAAAACUUGCACUAUGUGCCCAGCUGUCACCCUUUUAGUCCUUUUCAUUGUCAUUUUCACUCACUACUUAAACUACUACAUAGUCAAUAUUUAGCAUGCCACCAGCUGGCACACAGCUGUCUUUGCUGCUGCCCAAUUAGUCACUUUCACUACUGUAUACACAUGUCACUCACAUUUGGGAUCAAAUUUAUUGUAGUUUGUAUUCAGGCAUUUUCGUAGAGUCAGUCCUAUAGCUAUGGGUCUCCUAACGACUCAUUUUCAUAUUCUCCUUUAGUGGGAACCCCCAAUAAAAGUUGUCAGAGUUAGCAAGCAAUAAAAUAUUUAGAGUGGUGUGUGGAGCAAGGUAGAUGCUCAAGGAACAUUUUGAAAUUAGUAAAAUAUUUAGAUCUUUCCUGAUGUA
This is a long non-coding RNA of Erinaceus europaeus (western European hedgehog), 1556 nucleotides long. RefSeq lists it as uncharacterized. NCBI's taxonomy places the organism in Eukaryota, Metazoa, Chordata, Mammalia, Eulipotyphla, Erinaceidae. The transcript is spliced from 2 exons. The record is from RefSeq and is a predicted model, not a curated record.